RNAcentral lists this transfer RNA (64 nucleotides) under Bambusiphaga taibaishana. Its description in RNAcentral is "tRNA-His". The record is from RNAcentral. Lineage: Eukaryota; Metazoa; Arthropoda; Insecta; Hemiptera; Delphacidae.
AUUAUAUUAGUUUAAAUAAAAAUCCCAUUUUGUGAAAGUGGGGAUUCAAAGUUAGAAUAUAAUA